This 1014-nucleotide long non-coding RNA is filed under the name Elaeis guineensis (African oil palm). RNAcentral describes it as "long non-coding RNA (EGUI_LNC001348)". Lineage: Eukaryota; Viridiplantae; Streptophyta; Magnoliopsida; Arecales; Arecaceae. The record is from RNAcentral.
UUGUGGACUUUGUUGAAAGAACCAUCUAAAUGCAUUUCUUUUAUUUUUGUUUGUUGGCCUAUUUCUUAUAUUCUAAAUAAAUUUAUUUUUAAAUAAAAUAUAAAUCCUAAUUGUCAAGAUAUAAACAAAAAUUUUAUUACCUUUGCUAACACAAAUCUUAUUGUUCCGCAUGACCUCAGAUCUCCCUUAGCGUGGUCUCCUCGAGAGCGGUAGACUGUUGCCCUCUGUUUCCAUUUCUUUAUGACAUCAAGGCCGAGGUCUCAGCACACGCACUCUUCUCCAAAUGCGAACGUCUCCAUAUGGGAUGUGGACGGGAGUGAGAUUCAAGUUAGGCCGGUGGGGCCCACGGUCUCUCGGCCUCCACCCCAGGAGAAAAAACAAUAAAAAAUUUAAAAGAGAGUGGGGUUCACAUGCCACGAUUCAAAAGCACGCAAGCCAGUUGACCCGGGAACUGCGGGAAUCCCCCCGUCUCCAUCGCUCGCCCGCCGGCACCAUUCCGCGGCGUCACUGGCGUACGUCCGGUCCAAAACCAUUCGACCCGGUCCGAUGUUCGUCUUCUUUGGGUUUUUGGAACCCACCCCUCUCCCUCUCUCUCAUCUUGUUUUUUUUGGUAUAAUCUAUCUCAUCUUAUUUGAGGGUGGAACGCUUGAACUAAGCUAUAAAUCUAAACGACCGUCUGAUUGGUUACUUAGGCUAUCAAGAAAAAUAUAUUAUAUACCGUUUGAUGGAUGAAAAGAUCUCAAACGUGGACGGUUCAAAGCAUGUCUAGUUUUCACAUCAAAAAAUAAAGCAUGCUUGGUUUGAUAUAAGUGGGCUGAGCAAGAGCCUACUUUAUUAAAAUGGCUUCUGACUCUACUUCCAAAAAUGAAUCCACUUCGAACUAUUUUUUUUUCAAAAUAAAUCAUGGUAGGAAACCUAGUUUGGCUUGAUUUUAGGCCAAUCAAAAAGUUGAGGUAGGCUCGUACUAGCCCGAAUUAAAUUUAGAUUCCUAAUUAUGGGCAACCAAACAAAUCU